GGAACCUAUAGAGAGAACCUAUAGAGAUUAGACAGGGACCAUUCACUCCUAAAAAUAGGGAUCAAUCCAACUCCCCUGUACCUAGCUGUGUGUCCAUGAAGAGUAACCAGUCCAUUAGAGAACCUAUAGAAUUCAGAGAAGGAACUUUUCAAACUAACCAAAGGGUCCAGCAGGAGAGACCAGACUCCCCUGUACCCAGUGGUAUAUCCAUGAAGAGUGACCAGUCAAAGAGAGAGCCUGUAGAAUUCCGGACUGGAGACUUUCCUCCAAAACAAGAGUAAAAAGUAUUGUUGUCAUUUUAAGAAAUCUGAGUGUGAUUUCCAGAGAUAAAAAAGCUUAGCAACGGUACUUGCCUUGUUCCUACACAGAGUACCCAGAGACCAAUAUGAGAAGUCAGAGUCAUAAAUUCCAAAUGGUCAGUCUGCCCCAAGUCAUGAAAUGGACCUGUUUUCCAUAUUUAAGGUGGGUUGUCUUAAUUUGCUUGUGCUGGAAAAUGGCUUCGAAACCUCGAUUCUUACCUCCAAGACUGUUUUGACUUAGUACUCUAUGUCAUUUUGAAUUGUUUGUUGCAAUUGCUUGAAUGCAAUGUCAUCUCUUUUGUGAAGAAUGAAUUGAAGAGGUUCCAGAGGAUUCUUUGUAAAUAUUACACAGAUAAACAUACUGAGAAUGAGAAGCAGGAGAGCAGUGCCAGAGAAGGGGCUCUGAAGACCACACUGCACAUUCUGAGGAACAUGAACCAGAAGGAGCUGGCUGACUCGCUGGAGAAAUAUAAGAAUUCAAGUCUUUGUUGGUCGGAGGCUAGAUCCUCUUUACCUACAGCAAAAAAUCUGAUGCAUCUGCCAUUCUUCCCUUGAGUAGGGCAGUUAACCCCCAACAACAACUGCUCCUCUGGCGCCGAUGACGUGAACGUAGAUUAAGGCAGCACCCGCACCUCUGAUUCAGAGGGGUUGUAUUUGUAUUUAUUAUGGAUUCCCAACUACUCUUCCUGGGGUCCAA
This is a long non-coding RNA of Oncorhynchus tshawytscha (Chinook salmon), 996 nucleotides long. RefSeq lists it as uncharacterized. The record is from RefSeq and is a predicted model, not a curated record. The transcript is spliced from 3 exons. NCBI's taxonomy places the organism in Eukaryota, Metazoa, Chordata, Actinopteri, Salmoniformes, Salmonidae.